UGAGGUCAUGGUCAAAUAAAACCUGCACGACUGACAUAAAGAUCAUAAAAUAUUUCCAUACACCAAAUAUAGUUGACCUAUGGCAUAUAGUAUUAGAUAAAAAGACCAAAACUCAAAAAGAUAACUUUGACCACUGAACCAUAAAAAUAAGGUCAAGGUCACAUGACAUCUGCCCGCUAGACAUGUACACCUUACAAUCAUUCCAUACAACAAACAUAGUAAACCUAUUGCAUAUAGUAUGAGAAAAACAGACCAAAACACAAAAAUUUAACUAUAACCACUGAACCAUGAAAAUAAGGUCAAGGUCAGAUGACACCUGCCAGUUGGACAUGUACACCUUACAGUCCUUCCAUACACCGAAUAUACUAGCCCUAUUGCUUAUAGUAUCUGAGAUAUGGACUUGACCACCAAAACUUAACCUUGUACACUGAUCCAUGAAAUGAGGUCGAGGUCAAGUGAAAACUGUCUGACAGACAUGAGGACCUUGCAAGGUACGCACAUAUCAAAUAUAG
Molecule: long non-coding RNA, 512 nt
Filed under: Mytilus galloprovincialis (Mediterranean mussel)
Lineage: Eukaryota; Metazoa; Mollusca; Bivalvia; Mytilida; Mytilidae
Source: RNAcentral